RNAcentral lists this non-coding RNA (104 nucleotides) under Mucochytrium quahogii. The record is from RNAcentral. Lineage: Eukaryota; Bigyra; Thraustochytrida; Thraustochytriidae.
CCAAGUCAAACUGAAAGUGACCCAGUAUGCCUCGAGGGAAGACGUAGCUGCCAAGGAACGAAAUGAUGCACUGAUAGAGCUGGAAACGCAGCAAGUUAAAACAG